Molecule: ribosomal RNA, 253 nt
Filed under: uncultured bacterium
Lineage: Bacteria
Description: partial 16S ribosomal RNA
Rfam family: Bacterial small subunit ribosomal RNA
Source: RNAcentral
UACGUAGGUGACAAGCGUUGUCCGGAUUUACUGGGCGUAAAGAGCGCGCAGGCGGUCGAUCAAGUCGAGUGUGAAAGCCCCCGGCUCAACUGGGGAGGGUCAUUCGAUACUGAUCGACUCGAAGGCAGGAGAGGGUAGUGGAAUUCCCGGUGUAGUGGUGAAAUUCGUAGAUAUUGGGAAGAACACCGGUGGCGAAGGCGGCCAUCUGGACCGAUACUGACGCUGAGGCGCGAAAGCGUGGGGAGCAAACAGG